AUGUGAUUGGGUUGAGGAUCAGUUACCUCAAAAUAUGGCAUCUUGGCAUAUGGAGUAUUUUUUUUUAAAUUUUUUAAUGUUUGUUUAUUUUUGAGAGAGAGAGAGAGAGAGAGGCAGAAAGAGACGGAGACACAGAAUCUGAAGCAAGCUCCAGGCUCUGAGUUGUCAGCACAGAUCCGGAUGCAGGGCUGGAACUCAUAAACUGCGAGAUCCAGACCUGAGCUGAAGUCACAUGCCUAACCGACUGAGCCAACCCAGGCACCCCAGCAUAUGGAGUAUUUUAAGGUGAAAAACUUUAAAAAAAUAGCAGAAGCAAGAAUGUCAAUCUGACCUUCCCAGCCCUUCUCUCCUGAAACAGGUCAUACAACCCUCGUGAAAGAGGUGCCCUCCCAACACCUGGAGGAAAGACGUGUCCUUAUCUCUGAAGACAAAAGGAUGCCAAGGAGAACCUCACAAACCACUUUGUUAAGUUUUGCCAGCACACUGCACUUAUCCCAUACUCCUUAACCUAUCAUAUUUCUAUACAACUGCUCACCCCUUAUCAAACCUAGCAUAAAAUAUUCUGAUCUAACCAUCUCUUGAGGUUUCCAUUCCCUAACGAAGGCCCCUGUGUCAGGCAAAACUCAUAUUAAAUACAUUUGUGUGCUCUUCUGCUGCUUAUCUGUCAUUGUCAAUUUAAUUUUCAAACCCCGUCGGGGCCUGCAAGAGGGUGGAAGAAUACUUUUUCCUCCCCUACACACGUUUAGUCAAAAAAUUUAAACACGUACUGAUACUAUGAGAGAAAUUUUAGUUUUAUAAUAUGUUAUCAGUAAUAUGCAAACUUUCGGGAUUGUUGACAAAUUUAGGAACAUUUCCAUCAGAUUUCUUCAUACAUGAAUGGUCAGAAAGAUUUCUACAGACCAGGCUCUGGUUGCAUGUGUUUCAGCCUGAUUUCUCUCCCUGUAUUUAUGUGAUUUGGGUGGCUAACACAAUAAUGUAUGUUCGAAUCAUAAUAUAAACUCUUGGCGGUCACUUGUGUUCUUACCAGUGACUCAGCACAGUGGCCAAGAUGAAUAUUCCUACAAGCCAUUACUACACAUGGAUGCUUAGCAAUAACUUAACCUUGCCCAGAAAUGACUACAAGCAAUAUCUGUCUCUUCCCCAUCUCUAUCUUUAUCUUUAUUUAGCUGUAUCUAUUAUAUAAUUAUUUAUAUCUAUUAUGUAAUUAUAUCUAGUCAGAUGGAUGGAUGGAGAGAUAGAUAGAGAGAAAUUGAUAUUUAUCCAUAUCCAACUAAAAUCUUUUUUUUUUAAUGUUUAUUUAUUUUUGAGAGGAAGAACAAGUGGGAAAGGGACAGAGAUAGAGAGACAGAGAGAGACAGAGAAGAUCUGAAGCGGGCUCCGUGCUGACAGCAGAGAGCCUGAUGUGGGGCUUGAAUUCACCCACCACGAGAUCAUGACCUGAACAGAAAUGGGUCUUCGUUGUAACCGACUGGGCCACCCAAGCGUCCCCAACCUAAAAUCUUUUUUUUGUUUUUAAUUUUUUUUUAAUGUUUAUUUAUUUUGACAGAGACAGAGAGAGAGCGUGAGAGGCAGAGGGGCAGAGAGAGAAGGAGACACAGAAUCUAAAGCAGGCUCCAGGCUCUGAGUUGUCAGCACAGAGCCCGACAUGGGGCUCGAACUCACGGAGUGCAAGAUCAUGACCUGAGCCGAAGUCAACGGCUUAACUGACUGAGCCACCCAGGCACCCCUCCCACCUAAAAUCUUUUUAGUGUAUUCCCAGUUCAACUUCCCCUGAACCAAGUAUCAAAAAUGCUCUGAGCUGUUGUAAUGUCACUCAACAUGAGCUGAAGUUUUCUGAAGGGUGUGUCAGGGAGGAAAUAGACAGUGAGUGGUCUCAACUCAUUCCUGUUUACAUACAUUAGUUUUGCAAAUUUUAUAAAGACAUAUAAUCAUGUGAACACACUGCUAGGGCUCUUUCCAGACCUUUUGAAGACACCUGUGCAAAUGAAGGGGUCUUGAUGCUUAAAGUCCAUUAGCUUCAGAGUAAGUUGGUGAGAAGAGACAGGAGCAGGAGAGUGUGUCCCCAAAAAUGUGGGAAAUAAAGAGGAAUGUCCCCUGUCAUGUGCACUGUCAACACUAGCUUCUUGGAGUUUCCUUCCUGUUUUCUUUUCCUGUCAGGGCAAGAAAAACCUGCAGUGAGAGGCUGUCCACACAAGAGCAGUGACUCUCAGAUAUUACCACAGCAGCAAAGGUGAAAACCAACAGAUUUGGAGUACACUUUCAUCAAACCUGAGGCCUGGAGGAACAGCAGGUAACAGGGUUGAUGCUCGUAAUCAAAAAGCUUGUAAACUUUUGGCAAUCACCUGUAUUUGAGAGACAUGGUUUGAGGAAAGAAAGGAGGCUGAUAUUUCAGAGACUAUGCUAAUUGGGGCUCAGCCUGUUAUACUUCCAUUACCCACAUCCUUAUGUUUUUCUUCCCUUGGUCAGUGGCCCCAAAAUAUCUGCUACACUUAAACAUUUGUAAUGCAUUUAAGCCACUAGGAUAUUGUUAUCAGUUGACACGCAACUCAAACCCAAUCCAACCUGACGGUAUAGUUCUUUUAUUGUCGGUUUUGUUUGACAAUCUACUACAUUAAUAGACCACAUUUAUCCAGCUUAUAAACAUUUAGGUUGCUUCCUAACUUGUGCUGUGAACAUCCAGAUACACGUGUCCCUGGGCUAACAUACAAGAUAUUCUCUGGGAGACAUACCUAGAAGACAAAUUAUUGGGCUGUAGAAUAUGUACAUCUCCAAUUUUACUUGGUAAUUACAAACUGUUUUUCCAACAUCAUGGCCUCAUGAAACACUUCCACCAACAGUAUAUGAGACCUCCUUUUGCCCUACAUCUUUAUCAACACUUGGCACUGUCAGACUUUUUAAUAUUUCUCAAAUUUAUGAAUGGUUAAUGAUAUCUCUCUGUGGCUUUAGUUUGCCUUUUUGUCUAUCGUGGCAAGCAACUUUUCAUACAUCUUUGACUCUGGGAGUUUUGUCUUUUUGCAAGUGCUUAUUCAGCUCUUUUGAUGAUUUUUCUAUUGACUUAUCUGCCCUUUCUUUAUUGAUUCAUAAAACUUCUUUAUAUUUUCUGAAAACUAGCUCAUACCAGUUUUAUAUGCAGUAAAUAUUUUCUGAUAAGCUUACCUUUUUCUUCUCUUUGAGGUGUCUUUUGAUAAACACAAAUCUUUAACGUUAGUGUAAUUGAAUUAAAAUAUCUUUUCUUUUUCUGUUUUGGUGCUUUCUGGCUGAAAUGAAUGACAAUACUCUGAGUUUAUAAAAAUAUUUCUCUGUAUUUCUAAAAUAUUUAUAGUUUUAUCUCUUUAUAGGCCAUAAUUCACACGGGGAAGUGACAUUUGAAAAUAUAGUAUGAGACAAUCUUGAAAAAGAAGAACAAACUGGAGGUAUCACAAUCCCAGAUAUCAAGAUAUACUACAAAGCUGUAGUAACCAAAACAGUAUGGUAUGGGCACAAAAAUAGACACAUAGAUCAGUGGAACAGAUUAGAGAUUCCAGAAGUAAAUCCAUGAUUAAUAGUCAAUUAAUCUUCAAUAAAGGAGGCAAGAAUAUGCAAUGGGAAAAAAAAUCUCUUCAGCAAGCAGUGUUAGGAAACCUGGACAGCUACAUGCAAAGAAGUGAAACUGGACCACUUUCUUACAUCAUACACAAAAGUAAACUCAAAAUGGAUUCAAGACCUAGAUGUGAUACUUGAAGCCAUAAAAAUUCUAGAAGACAGCACAGGCAGUAAUUUCUCUGACAUCAGCCAUAUCAACAUUUUUUUCUAGAUAUGUCUCCUGAGGCAAAGGAAACAAAAGCAAAACAAACAAAACUACUGAGACUACAUCAAAUUAAAAAGGUUCUGCACAGCAAACAAUCAACAACAUUAAAAGACAACUUACUGAAUGGGAGAAGAUAUUUACAAAUGAUUUAACUGAUAAAAGGCUAAAAUCAAUAUAUAUAUAUAUAUAUAUACAUACGUACAGACACACACACACACACACACACACACACACAUAUAUAUAUAUAUAUAACUAAUACAACUCAACACUCAAAAAAUAAACAACCCAAUUAAAAAUGGGCAGAAAACAUGAAUAGACAUACCUCCAAAAAAGACAUCCAGAUGGCCAGCAGACACAUGAACAGAUGCUCAACAUUGCUCAUCAUCGGGAAAAUGCAAAUUAAAACCACAAGGAGAUAUCUCUUCACAUCUGUCAGAGUGGCUAAAAUAAAAAACACAAGGAACAAGUGUUGGUGAGAAUGUGGAGAAAACAGAAACCUCGUGCACUGUUAGUGGGAAUGCAAAUUGGUGGAGCCAUUGUGGAAAACAGUAUGGAGUUUCCUCAAAAAGUUAAAAAUAAAAAUAUCCUAUUACCCAGUAAUCACACUACUGGGUAUUUACCCCACAAAUACAAAAAUGCAACUAAUUCAAAGGGAUAUAUUCACCCCUAUGUUUAUAAUAGCAUUUUUUACAAUAGCCAAAUUAUGGACACAGCCCAAGUGUCCACCGAUAGAUGAGGGGAUAAAGAAGAGGUGAUUUAUAUUUAUAUAUAAAUAUAUAUUAAAUGGAAUAGGACUCAACCAUAAAAAUGAAAUCUUGCCAUUCACAGCAACAUAGAUGGAUCUAGUGGGUAAAAUGCGUAGUGAAAUAGUCAGAAGAAGACAAAUAGUAUAUGAUCUCACUCAUAUGUGGAAUUUAAGAAACAAAACAAAUGAACAAAAGAAAAAUAGACAAAAAAUUGACUCUUAACUAUAGAGAACAAAGAGAUGGUAAACACAGGGGAUGUAGGUGGAGGGAUGGGUGAAAUAGGUGAAGGGGAUUAAGAGUACACUUAUGAUGAGCUCUGAGUAAUGUAUAGAAUUAUUGACUCACUAAAUUGUGCACUUGAAACUAACAUGGCACUGUAUAUUUACUAUACUGGAAUUAAAAUAUUAAUCAUAGUAACUAAGCAGAAGAUAAAACUGAAAAGAGAAUCAGAUUGAUAAAACACAUAAAGUCAUCUAUAGAAUAAAUUUAAUAAACAUACACCUAAAAAGGGGCUACAUCUAAGACCAAAACUAUAAAACUAAAGGAGAAAACAUAGAGGUAAAUCUUUUUGACCUUGGUUUUGGCAAUAGAUUCUUAGGUAUAACACCAAAAGUGCAAGCAACAAAAGAAAAAAUAAAGUGAUCUUCCUCAAAAUUAAAAACAUUUGUGCAUCAAGGAAUGUUGAUGAAGUGAAAAGACAACCCACAGAUUGGGAGAAAAUAUUUGUGAAUUAUAUAACUGACAAGGGUCUAGUAUCCAGAAUACAUAAAAACAAUCCAAUUUAAAAAUGGGUGAAGAACCUAAACAGACAUUUCCUCAAAGAUGUAUACAAAAUGGCCAAGCAUGUGAAAAGAUACUCAACAUCAUUAGUCAUUAGGGAAGUGCAAAUCAAAACCACAGUGAGAUAUCAUUUCACAUCCACCAGGAAGACCAUAAUUAAAACAAUAAGUUGUGGAAACAUUGGAACCCUCAUACAAGUUGUUAAAAAUGUACAAUGGUGCAGCCAGUUUGGAAAAUGCUUUGGUAGUUCCUCAGAGAGGCAAACAUAAAAUUACCUUAUGACCCAACAUUUCUACUCUUAGCUAUAUACUCAAAAGAACUGAAAACACUCAGCAAGUACUUGUACACAUAUGUUAAUAGUAGCACAAUUUGCAAUAACCAGAAGGAGAAAACAUGCUAAAAGUCUGUAAAGGGAUGAGUAGAUAGACAAAAUAUGAUACAUACAUACAAAAGAAUUGUUCAGCCAUAAAGAGGAAUGUGGUGCUGACAUAUGCUACAACAUGGAUGAACCUUGAAAACAUGCUAAGUGAAACUAGCCAGACGCAAAAAGCCACAUAUUGCAUAUGAAAUAGGCAGAAUAAGUAAAUCCAUAGAGUCAGAAAGCAGAGAGGUGGUUUCCAUGGGAUAGGCUGGGGGGCGGAAAUAGAGGGCGAUUGCUUAUUGAGUAUGAGAUUUUCUUUGGGGGUGAUGAAAAUGUUUUAGAACUUACUAAAGGUGGUGAUUGUACAACGUUGUAAAAAAAAAAAAAAAAGAAAAUAUCGUACAAGGUAGGAAAUCCCACUUUCUCAUUACCAUUCAUUGAAAUUCCAUCAUUUCCCAUUUAAAUGAAAUAAACCUGCUCUUCUCUCUCCCUAGUCCCUUCUCUCCUCUUAUUCCUGUGCUUUUAUGUUUAUAACUGAGGGCCUAGUUGAUAUUACUGCUAUAGUUCUCUUUUCAAACCUAUAAUAGUCGGGUCAAGGAGAGAAUUUCAAACCAUGUACAAUUAAAUCUGAAGGCCUAUAGUAUGCAUUGUGAAAGAACCUGGGUCAUGUAUGGUUUUAUAAAUUUAAAACUUACAAUUAAAAAUUAACAUUAAAAAUUAAAAGAUCAAAUGAUAUAUUUUUAAAUUUUGGACAUUUGAAGUAAAAUACAUAAGAAAAUUAAGGCAGGUUCAUAAUAUUUGUAUUACCAUUUAAUCCAAUUAAAAAUAUUUUGACUAGAAAAACAUUGAGAAUGCAAUUCACAUUUUCCUCUCUGUUUCAUAAUCUCCCUCUUAUCACAAGUAUAUCACAUCUCUUUCUAUGAGUGUCUUUCCACUUUCUGAAUACCCUUCACUACCUCACCCUCUAGAGGUCUCUUUGAAAAAGACUUGCCAUUUUUUUUUCCUGCAGUUGAUGCUUUGACAUAUACAAAAGUUUACUAUGUAUACAGUAUAGUAUAUAUAGUAUAGUUAACUAUACUAUAAUGCUAUAUACUAUAGUAUAUACAAUAAUAUAUACUAUAAUACUAUGUACUAUAGUAUACAAUACUAUAAUUGUAGUAUACAAUACUACAAUAUAUACUAUAUACUAUACAUAUAUAUACUAUAUAUAUACAAUAAUAUAUAUGUUAUACUAUAUAUACAUAUAUAAAUUUUUUUGGAUAUUUUUAUAUCAACAUAUGUGAAGUUUCCAUAUAUGUGUAUGUCCUUCUCUGACCUCUCUAUAUUCAUUUCCAUUAGUCUAUGUGUCUACUCCAGCAUCAACAGCCCAGUAUUUUAGUUAAAAUAGCUGUGUAAUGUCCCUCCCCCUCAUCCUGCCCACAGCACUACAUUAAAAUUUGGGAUAGGGUUACAUUAAAUCUAUAGGUCACUAGAAGACCUGUUGGAAGAUUGAUAUUUGUACAUAUUGAAUCUUCUAAUUCACGGUCACAAAUAUCUCUCCAUAUACUUAUAUGCACUAUGGCAUCUCUCACAAAUAGUUCAAUUUCUCUAUAGAAUUUUGUGCAUCCUUGGUUAGAUUUAUAAGUAGUUCUUAUUAUUUUUCAUGUUAUUUAAAUAGGACAUUUUUCUAAUUUUUUUCCUGUUUGUUGCAGUGGUAUAGAAAUGUAAUGGAGUUUAUAUAUCAUUCUAUAUCCAGUAAACUUACUCAAAUCUCUUAAUAUGAUAGAUUCUUUUGGAUUCUCCAUUUAUUUGUGACUUGUAAGCUUUUCUUGAUUAGUCUAACAGAUAUUUGUAUGUGUUUUUUGUUGCUGUUUAUUUGUCUUUUAAGGAACCAACUUUCUCUGUUGUUGAUCUCUUCUAUGUGUGUUUUCUAUUGAUUUCUGCUGUUUGCUAAUCUAUUUCCUUUCCUCUACUUUCUUUGUAUUUAUUAUGGAUUUUAUUUUUGCCUUUUUUAUACAUUUAAAAAUUAUUCUACUUUUUAGAUGGAUGCUAGACUCAAUAAUUUUUAUUCUUUCAGUUUUUUAAUAUAAAUAUUUAAGACUGUAAGUUUCCUAAAAGAACAGAUUUAGCUGCAUCCUACAAAUUUGGCAUGUAGGAUUUUUAUCAUCCAGUCAAAAUGUUCUCAAUUUUUUUUCCAACUCUUCUUUGACUCAUAGAUUAUAUUUAAUACUAAAUGUGUGAGUUUAUUCCCUUUUUUUUGCUUGUUUGCUUCAUUGUUACUUCUAGUUUCUGACUUAAAUUCACGAGGCAAGAAGAUAUGCCAUGUAUGAUUUCAGUCCUUUGAAAUUUGUUUAAACGUUUUUUAUGGCCCAUCAUAUAGUCAAUUUUGCAAAUAUUCCAUGUGUUUGAAAAAAACUUAUUUUGCAAUUGAUGGAUAUAAUGUUCUCUAUGUGUCAAAGUUUAAUUAUGCUGUAACAUUUUUGUCUGAUUUUUUAAUGUCAGUUAUGAGCAAACUUGAAAUCUUCCACUAUGAUCGCAGAGCUAUUCAUUUCUCCUUCUAGUUCAGUUUUGUGUAGGUAGUUUGAGGUCAUGAUUUAAGCAGAUACAAAAUUAUAUAGGCAAAUAUAUGCAUAUAUAUUUGAGUUGUAACUUUUGUUCCUCUUUCUCCCAAGAAAUUCUUUCAGCCUUAAAAUCUGUUUUGCAUGAAAAUUAAUAUAGCUACACUAGCAUCCUUUUAGUUAAUGUUUGCACAGUGUUUUUCCUAUCUUUUUACUUUCAACUUGUCUGAAUUAUUACAAUAAUUAACAGCAUAUAUUAGAUUAUUUUUUAAAAUUCAAUCUGACAAUCCUCAUCUUUUUACAGGAGCAUUUGGUUUCUUUUUAGUCUAUUCACUGCUGAUAUAUUUGUGUUUAUACCUAAUCUUCUAUUUUUCUUUUUUAUAAUUAAUCAUUUAUUCUUUUCCCAGAACUAGUUUAGAAGCUAUGUAUUCUGUUUAUAUAUUUUUUAAUGUUGUUUUUUUUUUUUUGAGAGAGAGAGAGAGAGGCAGAGAAAGGGAGACAUAGAAUCUGAAGCAGGCUCCAGGCUCUGAGCUGUCAGCACAGAGCCCAACGCAGGGCUAAAACACAUUUACCCCAAGAUUAUGACCUGAGCCCAAGUCGGACGCUUAACUGACUGAGCCACCCAGGCACCCCAUUCUGUUUAUAUUUUUAAAUGUUAUUCUUAAAUUACUACAGGCAUCCUUAACUGAUCGAGUCCAAAUUUAGCCAAUACUUUUAACCUUCUCUGAGAUGUUUUAGAGAUCAUUAAAAUUUUGCUUGAUUUAUUUCUUUCCAUACAUUUAUGCUAUUGUCCUUGUUUAUUUUAAUUUUUAAACUGUAGAGAUAUUACUACUAUUGUAUUCAGUCAGUGAUCUAGCUUUACAUCUUCAUAUGCCACUUUAUUUGCUCCUUAUGUCUGUGUAUAUAGAACUGUCAACUAGGAUUACUUUCCUCUGGUUUGAGGUACAUCUUAUAGACUUGUUUUUAGCAUGGAUAUGUUGGUGGCAGUUUUAGUUUUUGAAAAAUGUCUUUAUUCCACCUUUAUUCUUGAAAGACAUUUUGAUGAGUAUAGAACUAUAGUGUGAUAAAUGUUUUUCAAUAAGCACAUUCCAACUAUCAUUCUAUUUCUUUUUCACUUCCUUGAGCACUGUUGAGAUGAAAGCUACCAGUCUAAAUGCUCCUCCUUUAAAGUUAAUCUUUGCCUCUGACUACUUUUACAAUCUUUUCUUUUAUUUCGGCAUUUGGCAAUUUUACUAUGAAUAUUUUCCUCUACUUUGAAUUUAUUGAGAUUCUUGUAUUUGUGGUUUGGUAUAUUUCAUUUGUUUUAGAAAAUUAUUAGCUAAUAUAUUAUCUUUUUUUUUUGUUCUCCUUUCCCUACUUCUGAAAUUCUGAUUUAAUAUGUCAGAUCAUCUCACUCUCUCUUUCACAUUUUUCAUAUUUUCUAAUUCUUUGUAAAUUUGUGCUACAUUCUGGAUAAUUGCUUUUGAUCUCUGUCUAAUUCACAAAUUCUCUUUUUAGCUGAGUCUAAUCUACUCAAAACUCCAUAUAAUCCACUCUAAAUUCUAUAUGUAUUCACUUUAAAAUUUUGAGUGUAGUAUUUUUCAUUUUCGGAAGUUCUUUUUUUGUGUACAAAUUUACUUGGUCAUUCUUUAAAGUUUUAUAUUCUCUGAACACAAUCUUAAAUUUAUCUCUUAUUUUUAAACCAACUAGACAUUAGUAUUUUAUAUUCUGUGUUUGUAAUGUAAACACUUAAAGUCUUUGUGGAUAUGAUUUCUCUUUCUGAGUUCAUGUUUAUGAUGUCUAGUUUUCAUGAAUAGUUUACAAAGAAAAUGUGAACUGCUUUUUUAAAAGAAAUGUAUUGGGGUGCCUGGGUGGCUCAGUUGGUUAAGCAUCUGACUUCAGCUCAGGUCAUGAUCUCUAGGUUUGUGAGUUCAAGCCCUGCUUCAGUCUCUGUGCUGACAGCUCAGAGCCUAGAGCCUGCUUCAGAUUCUGUGUCUCCCCCUCUCUCUGCCCCUCCCAUGCUCAUGCUCUAUCUCUUCCUAUCUCUCAAUAAUAAAUAAAUGUUAAAAAAAAUAAAAGACAUUUAUUUGUAGAAUUAUUUGAGGCCUGGAGUUAAGGCAGUGUCUGUCUGUCUGUAUAUAUGUAUGUACAUAUAUUCCCAAAUAUACUUUGACAGAAAUGUCUGUUCAGAAAACAGACCAUUUAUUACUCACAGAACAUUUUAGCAUCUGUUAACCAUAAACCAGUAUCUAAUAAGGUGAAGUCAUGAUGGCUACAUGUUCACCGAUGCAUGCUGUGGGGUUGUACCACAGGGAAGAAUCUCUGAAAAUAAGGAAGAUUGGAGCUAACACAUCUACCCUUCUUCAUCUCCACAAAAAGAGAGAGAGGAAAAAGAGGAAGAGAAAUCUUUACUCUGAAAAACAGACAAAUUCUCUUUAAGAAGACAGGAAAGGAAUAUUCAGAUUUUUAUCUCCCUGGAAUGAAACAAAUGGCUCCUGGGGAACUAAGUCUCUAAACCUUUCUAGAACAAUACCAUAUCCAUUGCUUCCAAGGCAAGUUUGGUAUUCAAUCAUCCAUUAGCCAUAUUACCAGUGUUCCUAACCCAUCCAUUUCUCCUUAUUCACAGAAUAGACUACACUUACUUGGUUUGGUCUUGUUUUCCCUCAAACUUCUUCAAAACCAUUCUAUCACUCUCUUGCUUUUGUACCCAGUUAGGCUGUCCUGCAUAGAACCUUUGCUGUGACUUUCCCUCUGGCUGGAAUGUACUUCCUCCAGGCUCCAUGCCCGCUUAUUUAGCUCUGACUGUUCAGCCAUUAUGUACUUAGGAAUGCUUUCCCAGACCUCUAUCUCCUAUAAAAUCUUUCUGUUAAGAGACCUUCAAGGCAACACCCACUUGUCAAAAUUGUAAUUGUAUAUUUGUCUGUUUUUAUUUAUUGGCUGUCUUCAUUCUAGGCCUAAGUUUUAUUAGGGUAGAACCAUGUCUGUUGGACUCGCCAUGACUUCUAGUCCUCAAGGUCUUGUGCAACACUACUGCCUGGAUCAUUGUAGGUUUUCAAAAAUAUUCAUUGAAUAAAUAAAAAAAUUACAUACAAUGCUGAGUAUAUCUCAUACAUUAUAAUGAUUAAAUCCUGUGAAGUGAGUUAUUAUAUAAGCCACAAUUGUGAGAUAGCCAAAGAAAGAUUUUAAGUAUAUAGAGAAUAUUACCUAAGAUACUUUUGUGUUAAAUUUAACAGACUACUGGGACAGUGAGAGGUUACAGUUCAAAAAGCCCACAAAGAUUUUUUUUGAAAAGUCAGUCUACUUUAAUAAUGUAUGAUGUUUUUGGAUGACUUAGCUUAUGCAGUUAAUUCUAAUAAAAGCUAAUGUGACAUGAUAAAGGGAUAUACAAAUGGUGGUGUUUCAGGUGAUGUAAUUCCUCAAAAGAGUAGCAUCAUAACAAAGUUGCUCUCUAAUACUCUAAGCAGAGGAUAGAACUAGGGAAGGACCACGACUUCCUUGAUGAUGUAUGUUCCCUAAAGAGGUAUAUUAGCCAUAAGAGUAGUAGAGAGUAAUCAUUAAGAGCAUGGACUUUAGGAUCAGGCCUGACUUCAUAUUUAGGCUCACUCACCUUUAGCUUUGUGGUCUUUGGAAAGUUACAUAAGUUCUAUAAGCCCUACUUGACAUAAGAGUCAAAUGGAAUUAAUGGUAAUACCAAUCUCAUAAAGUUUUGGUAAAAAUACAAUUAACUCAUAUAACGUACAUAGCAUAGUGCCUCCUAAAUGGUAGACUACUUAUAAAUGUUAGCUAUUCUUGUUAUUUGGCCAGUGAUAUGUCUGAAUUUUUGCAUUUAGAAGUCAUGCAUAUGCAGUGUGGAAAUUGGAGCUACAGUAUUCCUAGUUAUUUCUUUUUAUAGAUCAAACUUAAAGUGCAUUAGACUUGAAGUCAGAACACUUGUAUUUGAAUCCAACUCACUAACUGUGACCAUGGGCACAGCCUAAAUCUUAACAACUACAUCAAUCAUGUGAGGUAUGGUAACAUCUAUCUCAGAGGAUUGUUUUACACUUAUGAAAUAUAAUCUUUAAAGUAACUGCCCCACCCCGAUCUGCCAGGUUUCCUUUUUAUCAUUUUGUUCACAGACAAAUGUAGUGAGAUAUUACUUAGAAAUAUUAAUUUUGUCCUAAUCUCUUCCUGGUUGGAAUUGGUCAGAGGCAUUCAUUACUUUGAAGAGAAUUAGAAUUGUAAAUAUUAAGAAGCAUUUAGAGAAAAAACAAAAAAACAAAAACAACUGACAUUUCUUCCAGAAUAGGCUUUUGGAUCCAUCAUCAAAAGCAGUAAUUUUGAAAACAAUAUUUUUUUUUAAUUUAGAAGACUCAGUUUUUCUAUGGAAAGAAGAAAAGGUUCUUAAGAUCAAGAAGAGGGCUCUGAAAGAAGCAGAACAUAGAGUAUAUGCCAUGAUAAUAAGUUAGAAAUAAAGUAACGAACUCCUUGGUCUUCCUACCCUUGAUGGUGGUGGUAGUGGUCAUUAAUUUCGGGGUGAGUUGUGUGGUUACUCAGUGAGGACCACUGAGAAAGAAAGGAGGGAAGGGAAUGGAUGAGGCUAGCAAAUCAGCAUCAAGAGAACCACUAUCACUCUAGUUUUUCAACCUCAAUUUGAUGUGAAAGAGCAAGUUGAUUCCCGUGAUGCUCUGUUGCCAUUUUGGUGGCCACCACGUGUCACUUGUGUUGAGGAGCCCUGUUAGCUGCUGCUCAUGUAGUUGUUAAGGGAGAGUCUUGCAUUCACAGGUGCCUGCAUGUUGUCUGUGGAUUCUUCAGCAGAAAAGACAUCUGUUCAUUGCCCAAGAUUUUGCUGACUGUCAUCCAAAGCAAUCCCAUUAUGAACAGGUCAUCCAAUUUUUAAUGGCUGGGACAUUUUGUGAACACUGAAAACAGCAAAACCACAUACCACUUUCCCAAUGGCCCUCUCUAACAUAGUACCAAACACUUUGAUCUCCAUCUUCUUAUCAAGGAAGAGCUGGAAUUUGCCUUUAUCUUGGACACUCCUGAAGGCUGAUAAAGAGUGCAUGGAGCUUUGUAAAGAAAAGAGAACCAGGCAUUCCAAAGUGCCCAGAUGGCAAUCAAAGAAUAUAGGUCAAUUGCUACACAUGUCCACUGGCAAGAAUAUGACCCUAUUGGGGACCAGGAGCUCAAACUGCACAGAAUCCAGAGUUGUGGGAAGACCAGCAGGCUGGAGACUCAGAGAAAAGUUGACGGUGCAGUGUUGAGUCCAAAGACUGUCUAUAGGAAGAAUUCUAUAAACACUGAAGAAGACUUCAGUGUUUUCUCUUGAUGCCUUCUGCUGAAUGGAUGAGGCCCAUCAACAUUAAGGAAGGGACACUUAGGUAUCAAAGGCAUUGCAGAAAGCACUGUACUUCACUAUCUCAAUGUAUCUUAAGACUUCAAAAGAUACAAGGUUUCCCUCCAUCAAGGUUAAGUACAUCUCGAAGUCUCCAUGUUCAGUGAGAGAGACAGAGCAUGAACGGGGGAGGGGCAGAGAGAGAGGGAGACACAGAAUCGGAAGCAGGCUCCAGGCUCUGAGCCAUCAGCCCAGAGCCCGACGUGGGGCUCGAACUCACGGACCGUGAGAUCGAGUCCUGAGCUGAAGUCGGACGCUUAACCGACUGAGCCCCCCAGGCGCCCCAUUAACAAACUAUUCUUAACAGGUAACUGUUCUUAAAAGGUAAAUUUCUAGGUUCCAUAGCAGGCCAUUAAAGGAGAUAGUAUAAAGCAAGAAGCUUUCCAAGCAACUCUUAAAUCAUAUAUUUAACCUACUUGCAUGGUGGAGAAAAUUUAAGAGAAGAUGUAGAGGAAGAUGCACAAUAAAUGGAUGAAGUGAAUGUUACACAAAUUAACUAACAGUAAAGCAAAAUAGAAGUGAUAAAGUAAUAGAAAAAAAAAACAAGGAAAAUAAAGUGGGGUUGCUUUGGAGACAACCGAAGCUAAGGGGAUGAUAAGUUAUUUCAAUGAAUUGUCCUGGGUUCAAAUGCCAGUUUCAUGGCUUACUGACUAUGUGACUGUAACUUACAAGUUUCAUCUGUAAAGUGGGUAUAAAAAUACUAUUUACUUUAUAGGUCAUGAAAAUUAUGUAAAAGAAUCUGUGUAAAAAUACUUCUCAUGCAGCCUGGCACCUAGUGAAUGCUCGAUAGUGGUUAUCAUGAAACACUUAAUGCGGUAGAAAUGCAAAGUAACAUUUCUCUCAUCACACUAUUCUUCCUACUUUAAUCUAUCGAAUGCCAUAAACAAGAAAAGCUUUCAUGAUUAAUAUUUUCCUGUUUUGUUUUUUUUUCCUGACUGGUAGCCUCUAGAGAAAAGGUUUUUUUCCCUCUUUGGUAAAAUGGGUACUUUCUCUGGUAAAUGAUUUCUUUUGCCCCAGAGUGAUUUGGCUUCAGAUCGUAGUAUGAUUAAAAAUUUAAAUCCAAGAGUCUAUGAUAAUAAUUAAGCAAGGGCUGUGUGUAUUUUGCUUCAGGGCAAGUGUCAUGCCCACCAACAAUCUACCAGUUGUUGGAAUUACAGUGUAGAGUAAGGUUCCUUCCUGAGCCAUGGAGUUUGUAUGCCCUGGCUUCCUACUCACAGGCACUCACAGGCAUUACCCUGACAUAUAAUUUCAACAGUUUAGAACCUGAACCUAAUAGUUACGCAUUUCUGCUCAAAUGACAGUCAGUCCCGUGUUCCUGAGUCAGUACAAGGCUUUAUGUAGUGACUGUGACACCGAGCAGCCUUCCAUCUUGGGGCCCCUCUAUAUCCUACAGCUUUGUAGUCCUCUCGGGUGUAAUGUGUUGCAAUUCAAUAAAUUGUUGGAUAACCUCUACAAAUAAAGAGAAGGGAAUUCUCAAAGAGAAAGUCCUUUUGCUUUCCAAUCUGCCUGCUUUCUAAGAACCCAUGCCUCAUUUCCCCCUGUGCACAUGUUUACCUGACACCAGCAGGGCUGUGUGUUCCACAGACUUGGAACAGCAAACUAGAAAUACCGUACUCUGUACCAAGACUGCCUCUCGGCAAAGAAUGGUGUGUAUGAGCAGCCCGUUUUCCAGAUGCAUCCUAGAUUUGAGACUCUGUCUAGGUCAAGCAUAAUGAUUCUGAUGAAAAGUGAAGGAUUCUACUGUAUGUAAUUGGACUUUGACAGAACAGUUUUGCAUAAAGAGAAGGUUAUUAUUGAAACUUGGCCAUGACAAAGAAACUGGUACAGCUUACUUUUGUCAUCUAGUCUUAAAUUCAUCAACCUUGGUUUAAGAACGGUUUUGAUACCACAGUGAAGAAGAAAAGAUUUCUAGUUUGAGGUCAUUAGACAUGAACCGCUUGAACGAAAGAAAAAUGAGUCGUCUAAAAUGGCUACAGCAGAGGAUAUUGUUUGUAUCAGCAUGGAACAGAAUGAGCCGCCUCAGAAAACUACAAGAAUCCCAAUUAGACAAAUUUUUCCUCUAGAUGGAAACUGGUAACAAAGAUAAAGGAGUCCAAUAACGAACUCUUUAUUUUUCUUUCUCUUGACACACCCCCUCUUUUGUAUCAGGCACUAAAAAACAUGCCUGCCCUAAAAUCUUGAAUAUUGAGCAUUUUUAUGUUUCCUCCCUUUUUUCUAAGAAUUUAACAUUUCCCACAAUUUUGUAGCACUGAUAACUAUCACUCCUGUCCCCUGAUAAUCUCAGUUCCAUGCAACUUGUAAAAGGCAGUCUGACCCUGAGACUUCAUAGUGGGUGGCAGAUGGCUUUCGUGAAUGCCUAUUUCUGCUAUUAAAAUAAAAUGACAGGAAACAUCACAGAGAAGUUUCUUUUAUUUGAAAAAAAAAUGAGGGUUGUCAUAUGAUGUGAAAUACAAAUCUAAGGGCUUUGGCAGUCACUAACCUCACGUAGCAUGGUUAUCACUGGAAGGUAAAUGUAACAUCCACCUUCAGGUCUCCGUGAAAGAUGCAUUGUGCGAAAGGCAAGACAGUGCUUUCUGGCCCAGUACUUACACGUGUAGCAAUUUAUUAUAUGAAAAUGCACAGUGCAACUCAGACAACUUGUGAGCACUUAUUGAAGUUGCCAGGCAAAAAUAUUUUCCUCCAUGCUACAUUAGCAUUUUCUGGUUUAGACCAGCUGAUCUUUUUGAAUCGGGCUGCAUGAAUCAUCACAUCCAGUAUGUAAAUUUCAUACGUAUAUUUAAAUAUUUUUCCUUUCAAAUUGGAACCAGAAUUCAUAUUAUAGCCAAUAUAGUCUGGAAAAAAAAUAAAAAGUCAGGUUGCUGUCCUUUGUUCCCUCCACACAUCUAAAAAUUCUAAGAGUCUACAAGCUUAAUGUGGAGAGCAUCAGGGAUGUUUUCAAUAGUCAAGAGUGUCACUCAUUCUACUUUUUCAAAGUUCUUAGUUCCCAUUAAUAAUUUUAUAUACCAUAAUCAUUCACCUUGAACAUUUGCUAAUACGUUUAAAAUGCCAUUCUCUACUUAAUUGUUUCCAACAAGCGCUUUUAUUGAACAUCCACCAGGCAAAAAUGUACCAUUUCGAGUGUUCUGGAACCUCCUGCUUUCGUUUAUUAAUAACUCCCAAACAGAAUGUCUGCUUUAGACAUUAGUUUCCGAAAUAGAAUCGAAUCUUAAUUAGUUCAAGAGAAACUCUACUUAAGUAGUCUUAGAGAAAAUGCGCUAAUUUCCCCUCUAAUAUAUCCUCCUGUUGUUUGACUGUGAUGAGAAUGGUCUUUUAAAAGAGGCCUCAGGUGUGAAACCAACUGUUCAGGCUCAUUGUCAGCUGCUGGUUUCUAGAGUAUUAAUUCAAAAUUAGUGAAAAUAUAAGACUAUGUCUACAUUGGCCAACUCUAUUGCAAAAUUGAGCAAUUUUCAGUCAAGGGUGCAGCAUCCUCUACAAUGCCCUUGAGGAAGAUUCAGAAGCUCAUUCUAUUUCCAUCUGCUUCCAUCAUUAGAGAAUGCAGUUGAUUGAUUCAACCUCACUAACAAUAAGAACGGAUGCUGUUUAACUAAAAGGUGCCAUUCUAGAAUUUCAUGGAUUCACCUGUUGUCCCCUAGUAGGUCUAUGAUAAUCUGAGAAAGCAGCUAGACCGGACCCUUGCAAGAGGGUUUGUGUCCUACAUAUUGAAGACUGAAGAGGACUCUGUUAAGAAUGCCAGCUCCCAAGUAAAAUAUGGGCAAAAUUGGUUGGAGUUGAAGUCUUCCUUGUAAAGAGGUGCUGCACAUUUGAGAAGUCAGCACCACACAGAUCCUCAGACCAGGCUACCUUCAUCGAUUAUGCAGUCCGUAACUCUGCCUCAAAUAAAAUCAACAGGAAUUUCUUUUAGGCUUUAUAAAUAACUGAAAACAAAGCUUAAACUUAGCCUUGGAUGAUGAAACUAUUUUUUUUCUAAAAGCUUCUUUGUGGCCACACACACACACACACACACACACACAUUAUAAAAAAUGGAAGAAAAAAGUUGUUUUAUAUUUCUGCUUACACAGAAAUCAUAUUAUUGUACAGAGUAAAACAGUAAACUUAACUUUGGGGCUCAAUUGAGACUUGUUUAAUUGAUUGUUCAGAAUACAGAUAUUCAAGAAUAUUACAGAAAGUUUCAUUAUAAUUUACUAAUCAAAAUACUAUUUUUUGGUCAUUUUUGUUUGUUUGUUUGUUUUGGCCAAAUACAAAAUGGCCAUUAUUCUAGUACAAAAGGAAAUGUUUGGGGGAGUUUACUGAACACAAAAAAAUCAAGUGAUUACUAGAGUUAUUUGAGCUUAUAGCUGUCCUUCAGUUGAGAUUUCCAGAAAUAUCUGCCAUAAAUUUUAUUCUGCAUUUUAGAUUAAGAAGGCAGUGUUUAUUUCUGAUAGGGUCAAUGUAUUUGCAGAAAAGGAAAGAAAAUCUCUAUAUAACACUUAGGUUAAGUUUGCUAUUUUGAGCAAUAAAUGUCGAUGUUAUAAUAACAUAAUUUUUCUCCAUAAUACUAACCUUUUGAGAAAAGAAAAGCCUUCUUGUUGUUAAGCUGAUCAGUUCUGUCUGGGUAAACAGGACUUAAUCAUGUAGCAAUUACUUGUUUCAGGAAGACUCUCUGUUAUUUGUGUUGUGUUAAUCCACAUCAAAAUAAAAUAGCCUUGGAUAGGUAACUUUGUGACUUAGACUGACAUAGAUGAUGAUUAAGAGUGUCUAAAAACCUCAUUUAUGGCUCGAUUUUAAAGAGCUAAUUGAAUCACUAUACAUUUAAAUAUAGUCCUUUGAAGAUUUUUGGCAAUCACUUCUAGAAAAAAAUAACUGGUUGCAUUUUUUAAAAUUACCUGAAAAAUAAUAGCAAAAUUCAAUAAUGGACUGAAAAAAUAAUCAAUUACUUGAAAGCUACCUAUUUUUUUCCAAAUUACAAUUAUGUACUAAGAUCCUGAGUUUGGGGGAUCAUUUUAAGUAAAAUUUCUACCAACCUCCCUUUAUUUGAGAACAUUUCUAAACUAAAAACAAUUAAGUUUUGAGAUCCAUUUAAUUUUUACUUCUUUUAAGUACCAGCAUAAACAUCUGCCAUCUGGCAUAGAAAUUAACUCAUAUGGUGGGAGGAGAGAUGAGAUUUAUUUAAAAGUUCUUUGUCUUUGAUACUUUUCCCUACUGCAUUUUCCACUAGUAUAAUUUGAACCUGACUGUAUUUAAAUAACCAUUUAUCGCCAUAAUGGAAGAGCAGACUUAAAAAUACAUAACUGCUGUCAUUCCAGGAGACCGUAUUAAGGAAACAUAGAAUUUGCCAUUCUAGAUCAGACCAUUUGUCUGUCUUGUCUAACACUUGCCUCUGGCGGUGGCCAAUAUUGAAGACAAUGGAGAACAGCAGAAUUAUGCAAUGUGAGCACAAGCCAUUUUUUAGGGGAAUAAUUAUUUUCUCAGUUGGUAAUCUUAGACUAUGGAAUAUUAGAAUUGAAACACCCCCAUCUGUUUACAUUAUUAAUAUUUUUAUCAAUCAAUAAACUAACCAGUUCUGUUAAAAUUAUUGUACUGAAUUAUACUUAAUAAUCUGUAUGGUAUUUCUGUAUUUCUGUAUAUGAAAUAAUCUUAUUGCACUAACACUGGGUAUUUUAAUGCUAUGAUUUUUGAGCAUGAGGAAAAUAUGAGGACUUUCAGCUACAAAGCAAAAAAAAAGUGCCAUUUAAUUUCAGUGAAUAGUGCAGAGUAUACAUAAAGAUGUAUUUACAACAAAAGUUCAGCUUUCAGGUCCAGAAAUUUAACAUUAUCUAAUUUUAUAGAAAAGUUACUAUAGAUAGUAGCAGAAAAAUCUUAUUCUGAGUGAUUAAUGAAUUGACCAGAAUAUAGACCUACAUAUUUUAAUCUUCCUUGACAACUCACUAAUGUUGUUGAAGAAAGUGCUAUGGAGGCAUCUUGAUCCAUCUCUGAAGUUAUAGGCAGAUGCAACAAACAGAAUACUUACCAACUGUAGACCUCAAACACACUCAUACACGAUCUCUCCAAUGCGCCAAUCAUCAACUUCCUGGUGUUCCCCAAACCCAUUACUUGCCUUCACCUUACCCUCUGCUAAUCCCUUCCUUACCUCUCCCCAAGUGAAUAUACAUGACUUUCCUCUGAGAUUAUAUACAUUAUGCACAUUCUUGCAUAAACUGCUAUAAUCCCUCAAGGAAUUAUAAAUGCAUAAAAUGUGUGUACUCUGUCAGUCAACUCUUCAUUUGGCCAAUAAAAUAUAUUUAUAAAACAGCUUUUUUUCUGAUCUUCACAAUCAGAAAUAAAAAAUUGAGGGUCAAAAGUGAAUAUUUGUUAAUUAGCAGUACUGACCAAACGACAAGUCCCACUAAUGAUGGCACCACCUGUUUUGAACAAGACCUCCUUAAUGUUCAGAAAUCAGGAGUUUUAAAUAAUUUGGGUAAACACCUGCACACCUGGGUACUUGGCUGAGCUGAAAAAUGGUGAGUGUUAGUGGCUGAAGUUAGUAUCAGACAUCAUUUCCACCCUCCAAAGUGCUGAUAUAUCAGCUACUAAUUUAAUAAACUCUUUUUCCUGAAAUGACAAAUUCCUUUGGAGAUAUUUUUUUUCAAUAUUUGUUGUUAUCCAUAUUGAGGGAUAAUAAAAUCAUAUAUGACGAUGAAUGACUAAAGAUAUCCAAAUGAAUAUGCUUAGGUAGUGAAUGAGCUUUUAAAGUGCUCCUUUAAUAGGUAAGUAGUUGAAACAGUUUAUUUCCAUUGGCUUUGUACUUUACUGACAGUAAAAGAAGAGGCUCAAAAAAAAACAACCCAAAAACUCCAAAACAAACCAAAACCAAAUCAGAAAACCUUUUGCCUUCUUCCAAUAAGAGGUGGAAUGCUGAUAUUGAGCCCAGCUCUAAAGACAUCUGGAAAUCCUUGAAUCAGUUCCUUAGCUCCUUGCAUUUUGUAGGUUAGUCUUUCCAUGGAGGCAAAAAGAACUCCUUCAGAGCAAAAAAUUCUUCCAGCAAAAUCAGUCCCUGCCUUUUACAUGGAGCAUAUCCAGUCAGAAAUAAACCUGGCCAAGACUCCAUCCAUAAUUCUACUAGACAAUUUUUAAAUCUGUUAGCCAGAACCUUGACUUUAGUAUAAGGUUUAUAUAUCUCUCCAAGUCAGUGAUUCUCAAAGGGAGCAAUUUUGUCUCCACAUCACUCUUGCCCCAGAACAUUUGUCAAUGUCUGGAGACAUUAUUAUUGUCCCCACCGUGGGGCUGGUACUGGCAUAAAAUGGGUAGCAGUCUGGAAUGCUGCUAGACAUCCUACAUCGUAGAGGGCAUUCCACCCACAAUAAAGAAUUGUCUGGUCCAAAAUGUCAGUAGUGCUGAGGUUAAGAAGCCGUGUUCCAAAUAAAGGGCGUUAGGAACACAACCAGAGAAGGUUAAAAUGUUGGCCCACACAUUUGGGAAUGAGAAUUGCAGGCAUAGACUGGGACUUAAGUUAAACAUAAACAUAUACAAUUCUCAAAGUAAUACACUAGGCUUCUGAUACCCAUUUUUAGUGCUCCUCUCUAAGGAACUAGGAAGAGCCCUUCUAUAUAUUUCUGGUCAGUUCCUCAGUUUUCUGGUGAUGCUGACGUGCCUGUCUCCCACGCAAUUCACUAGGUCAUCUGUGUUUUGUUUGGUCAUGUCCUUGUUUCAUGCUCUGCAUUGCUAUUUGCAAACAAGUCUAAUCACUGAGAAUGCAAUGGCCUCAGAUUAAUUUUAAGCAGCAGCCUUUGUCCUAUUAUUCCUAUGGGAGUUUUGCUUGCUCAGCAGCUCUGUGUCUAAACUGACCAUUCUGUGCCAUACUGAGACAGAGUGAGAGAUUUGUUCUGCAACCUUCCACGGAAAAGAUCACUUCCUGAGGAAGUUCCAUUUGGAAAGGCACCCUUCAUUGACUGUAAAUAUAAACACUAUGACAUUCCUGUACAACAUCAGUAAAAAUCCACUUACUUCUCGACCCCACUUGCUGCAACUACUCAAUUUUUUCCCUCUUUAACCAUUUCAUGCCCAAUAGCAAAAAAGACAAAAUGUCAUAAAGUGACAGAACAUGCAAAGGUAUCUUUGCAGUUCCAGCAGUAGGGAUAUUUCUAAUUUUAAAUUUUUCUAGAGGAUAGGGUGCAUUAAUCAGCUGUCAUUUAUCCUGUUAAUUCUGAACUGAUAGAAGUACCUAUAAAAAAAAGUUUACAGUUGUUGGAAUUCAUUCAAACUUGCUGCAGCUCUUGGAUAUCAACACCAACACAGACUUUCAAAAUUGCUCCAAAGCUGAAUACAUAUCUUCAAUAAACUCUCAAAUGAUUAAGUUUAAAAAUGAGUAUUGUCUCAGACGACUGGUCUGAUUUUCCGUUGUCAUUGCUUUUCUCCUUACUGAACAUGCACAUCAUGUAACCUCUCUAUCCCCUUUCUCUUGCUUUCUAUACUCCUCUGCCACUUUUAUUGCUCGACCAUUCCUGAAGAAAUGACAAAUGGUUAUCUUCAGAUCAUGUUUGAAUGAGAGUAAUAAUAAUAAUAAUAAUAAUAAUGAUACAAAAAUACAAAUUCAGAGAAGAUGUGUUUGAUUCAGAAGCCUGCGUAUUUGUGCAUGGUGUGAAAGGUGUCCUAAGAAGGUAUUAAUCUUAUUUUCUCCUUUCAUUUUACAUGAAAGCUGUCAUUAUUGGGAUAAGAAUAAAAUGAACAUAAGUAUGAUAAAUGAUAAGCGCACAUGGAAGUCAAUAUACCACUCUGAGAGAGCAUUGCUAAUCAACCAGUGCAGUAGGCUAAUGCACCAUGUGAACAAGCACCUCAGAGAGAUUCUAAAUUUGUAACUCAGGGAAGCUUGGCAUUUAACUUGAGCUGCUUUUGGCUUAAGGUGAAACAAAGGGUACAAUCAUGUUCCAUUUGUGGAUUACAGUAGCAAAUCAUGUUUCAGAAGGUGCCUUUGCAAGACAAUGUAAAACAGAAGACCAAUUCUAUAUCCCUAACAGGGCCUAGUAUAUACGUGAGUUGUUCAACGAAUGUUAAAUAAUGUUAAUAAAAAUGGGUGAGAGGAAAAAAAUAAGUGAGAGAGUACCACACCUAUUUUUUUUUAAUGAACAGUGAAAAGGAAGAGUAAGAGAAUCAAUUAAUUCUCAGUUUGAAAGCUUUGCCUUAUAAAUUAAAACUGAUGAACAUGAUUUUUAAAAUGCAAGUGCUUGAGUCUCUAUGCUAUUGGGGAUCUGCCAUGUUUUAAUACAGAUUUUUUUUGCCAUUGAAAUUUUUUUUAAUUUUAUUUUUUAAACUAAUACAUCCAAAUUAGUUAGUAUAUAGUGAAACAAUGAUUUCAGAAGUAGAUUCCGUAAAGCCGCUUACCCAUUUAGCCCAUCCCCCCUCCCACAACCCUUCCAGCAACCCUCAGUUUGUUCUCCAUAUUUAGAGUCUCUUCUGUUUUGUCCCCCUCCUUGUUUUUAUAUUAUUUUUGUUUCCCUUCCCUUAUGUUCAUCUGUUUUGUCUCUUAAAGUCCUCAUAGAAGUGAAGUCUUACGAUUUUUGUCUUUCUCUGACUGACUAAUUUCACUUAGCAUAACACCUUCCAGUUCCAUCCACAUAGUUGCAAAUGGCAAGAUUUCAUUCUUUUUGAUUGCCGGGUAAUACUCCAUUGUGUAUAUAUACCACAUCUUCUUUAUCCACUCAUCCAUCGAUGGACAUUUGGGUUCUUUCCAUACUUUGGCUAUUGUUGACAGUGCUGCUAUACACGUGGGAUGCAUGUGUCCCUUUGAAACAGCACACCUGUAUCCCGUGGAUAAAUGCUUAGUAGUGCAAUGCUGGGUCAUA
Molecule: long non-coding RNA, 23355 nt
Organism: Acinonyx jubatus (cheetah)
Lineage: Eukaryota; Metazoa; Chordata; Mammalia; Carnivora; Felidae
Exons: 9
Source: RefSeq, a predicted model, not a curated record